CGGUAAUUCCAGCUCCAAUAGCGUAUCCUAAAGUUGUUGCAGUUAAAAAGCUCGUAGUUGGAUUUCUGCGGGGACGGAGCGGCCGGUCGCAACUUGCGACUCGAGCUAGCGCUUUCCCCGCAUCCUGCCGCGAACCGUGCUACCAUUAGCUUGGUGGCGCUGGGGAUCGGCUCGAUUACUUUGAGAAAAAUAGAGUGUUCAAAGCAGGCCACACGCCUUGAAUAAGUUAGCAUGGAAUAAUGACUAAGGACUUUGGUUCUUUUCGUUGGUGUUCGGGACUGAAGUAAUGAUUGAUAGGGACAGUUGGGGCGGUCCGUAUUCCAAAGCGAGAGGUGAAAUUCUUAGACCUUCGGAAGACGAACAGCUGCGAAAGCGUUCCGCAAGGAUGUUCCCUUUGAUCAAGAACGAAAGUUGGGGGAUCGAAGACGAUCAGAUACCGUCGUAGUCUCAACUAUAAACUAUACCAGCUAGGGAUCGGCCAACGUUUAAUUUAUCGACUUGGUCGGCACCUUAUGAGAAAUCAAAGCAUCUGGGUUCCGGGGGGAGUAUGGUCGCAAGGCUGAAACUUAAAGGAAUUGACGGAAGGGCACCACCAGCCGUGGAGCCUGUGGCUUAAUUUGACUCAACACGGGAAAACUUACCAGGUCCGGACAUAGUAAGGAUUGACAGAUUGAUAGCUCUUUCUUGAUUCUGUGGGUGGUGGUGCAUGGCCGUUUUUAGUCGGUGGAUGUGAUCUGUCUGCUUAAUUGCGUUAACGGACGAGACCCCAGCCUGCUAAAUAGCGCGGCUGAGCUUUGCUCGGUGCGAGCUUCUUAGAGGAACCAUGAUGCGCGAUAGCACAAGGAAGUUUGGGGCAACAACAGGUCUGUGAUGCCCUUAGAUGUUCUGGGCCGCACACGGGCUACACUGGCGCCUGCAACGAGCAUAUCAGCUGGCCCGAGAGGGUCUUGGCUAAUCUUUGGAACCGGCGCCGUGCUUGGGAUUGACCAUUGCAAUUGUUGGUCAUGCAACGAGGAAUGCCUUGUAAACGCGAGUCAUCAGCUCGCAUUGAAUACGUCCCUGCCCCUUGUACACACCGCCC
Molecule: ribosomal RNA, 1081 nt
Filed under: uncultured Rhizaria
Lineage: Eukaryota
Description: SSU rRNA
Rfam family: Eukaryotic small subunit ribosomal RNA
Source: RNAcentral